GAUGAACGCUGGCGGCGUGCCUAACACAUGCAAGUCGAACGGAGAUGUUCGCUGCGGAGUCUUCGGACAAAGCUUGAACAAUCUUAGUGGCGGACGGGUGAGUAACGCGUGGGCAACCUGCCUUGCACAGGGGGAUAGCAGUUGGAAACGACUGGUAAUACCGCAUAUCUUGGAGAAAACGCAUGUUUACUUCAAGAAAACAUUAGUGGUGCAAGAUGGGCCCGCGUCCGAUUAGAUAGUUGGUGGGGUAACGGCCUACCAAGUCGACGAUCGGUAGCCGACCUAAGAGGGCGGACGGCCACAUUGGGACUGAGACACGGCCCAGACUCCUACGGGAGGCAGCAGUGGGGAAUAUUGCACAAUGGAGGGAACUCUGAUGCAGCGACGCCGCGUGAGCGAAGAAGUAUUUCGGUAUGUAAAGCUCUAUCAGUAGGGAAGAUAAUGACGGUACCUACAUAAGAA
Molecule: ribosomal RNA, 462 nt
Filed under: Lachnospiraceae bacterium oral taxon 163
Lineage: Bacteria; Bacillati; Bacillota; Clostridia; Lachnospirales; Lachnospiraceae
Description: bacterial SSU rRNA
Rfam family: Bacterial small subunit ribosomal RNA
Source: RNAcentral